Molecule: microRNA precursor, 109 nt
Filed under: Prunus dulcis (almond)
Lineage: Eukaryota; Viridiplantae; Streptophyta; Magnoliopsida; Rosales; Rosaceae
Description: sRNA ncRNA
Source: RNAcentral
CAUCUUGUACACAUGUUAUAAUAUAGGUGGACGACAACGUUAAUUUUCCUCCCUUUUAGAGAAUAGUAUCAAUAAAUAUCCACUUAUAUUAUAUCACGUGUACAAGAUG